This 488-nucleotide ribosomal RNA is filed under the name uncultured bacterium. RNAcentral describes it as "bacterial SSU rRNA". It matches the Rfam family "Bacterial small subunit ribosomal RNA", at positions 30 to 511 of the family's 1533-position model. The record is from RNAcentral.
AUUGAACGCUGGCGGAAUGCUUUACACAUGCAAGUCGAACGGCAGCACGGACUUCGGUCUGGUGGCGAGUGGCGAACGGGUGAGUAAUAUAUCGGAACGUGCCCAGUCGUGGGGGAUAACGUAGUGAAAAUUACGCUAAUACCGCAUACGAUCUAAGGAUGAAAGCGGGGGAUCGCAAGACCUCGCGCGAUUGGAGCGGCCGAUAUCAGAUUAGGUAGUUGGUGAGGUAAAGGCUCACCAAGCCAACGAUCUGUAGCUGGUCUGAGAGGACGACCAGCCACACUGGAACUGAGACACGGUCCAGACUCCUACGGGAGGCAGCAGUGGGGAAUUUUGGACAAUGGACGCAAGUCUGAUCCAGCCAUUCCGCGUGCAGGACGAAGGCCUUCGGGUUGUAAACUGCUUUUGUACAGAACGAAAAGGUCUCUAUUAAUACUAGGGGCUCAUGACGGUACUGUAAGAAUAAGCACCGGCUAACUACGUGCCAG